Molecule: ribosomal RNA, 520 nt
Filed under: uncultured Glomus
Lineage: Eukaryota; Fungi; Glomeromycota; Glomeromycetes; Glomerales; Glomeraceae
Description: SSU rRNA
Rfam family: Eukaryotic small subunit ribosomal RNA
Source: RNAcentral
AGCAGCCGCGGUAAUUCCAGCUCCAAUAGCGUAUAUUAAAGUUGCUGCAGUUAAAAAGCUCGUAGUUGAAUUUCGGGACUAAUAUGUCGGUCGUGCCUCGGUACGUACUGGUAUUUUUGGUUUCUCCCUUCUGACGAACCUUGAUGUCAUUAAUUUGGUGUCUUGGGAAAUCAGGACUGUUACUUUGAAAAAAUUUAGAGUGUUUAAAGCAGGCUCACGCUUGAAUACAUUAGCAUGGAAUAAUGAAAUAGGACGUUUGAUUCUAUUUUGUUGGUUUCUAGGAUCGACGUAAUGAUUAAUAGGGAUAGUUGGGGGCAUUAGUAUUCAAUUGUCAGAGGUGAAAUUCUUGGAUUUAUUGAAGACUAACUACUGCGAAAGCAUUUGCCAAGGAUGUUUUCAUUAAUCAAGAACGAAAGCUAGGGGAUCGAAGACGAUCAGAUACCGUCGUAGUCUUAACCAUAAACUAUGCCGACUAGGGAUCGGAUGAUGUUAAUUUUUUUAAUGACUCAUUCGGCGCCUU